GACGAACGCUGGCGGCGUGCUUAACACAUGCAAGUCGAGCGGUAAGGCCCUUCGGGGUACACGAGUGGCGAACGGGUGAGUGACACGUGGGUGAUCUGCCCUGCACUUCGGGAUAAGCCUGGGAAACUGGGUCUAAUACCGGAUAGGACCACUGCCUGCAUGGGUGGUGGUGGAAAGCUUUUGCGGUGUGGGAUGGGCCCGCGGCCUAUCAGCUUGUUGGUGGGGUGAUGGCCUACCAAGGCGACGACGGGUAGCCGGCCUGAGAGGGUGACCGGCCACACUGGGACUGAGAUACGGCCCAGACUCCUACGGGAGGCAGCAGUGGGGAAUAUUGCACAAUGGGCGCAAGCCUGAUGCAGCGACGCCGCGUGAGGGAUGACGGCCUUCGGGUUGUAAACCUCUUUCAGCACCGACGAAGCGCAAGUGACGGUAGGUGCAGAAGAAGGACCGGCCAACUACGUGCCAGCCGCCGCGGUAA
Molecule: ribosomal RNA, 478 nt
Filed under: uncultured bacterium
Lineage: Bacteria
Description: partial 16S ribosomal RNA
Rfam family: Bacterial small subunit ribosomal RNA
Source: RNAcentral